UUAGAAGGUUUAAGAUUACUAGUAACGUUGAAAUACUUCAAUGUCUGAAUCCACUUCUCUUGAUUCUUCAGAAGGUGAACUGCAAUUGUGUCUGGCCAAAGCUCAUGCGUACACCUUGUGGGUGGCUCUGGAAAAUUGUACAUUGACCACUUAGCAUUAUAUCUAUUCUUUGCUUUGUGCCCUUCUCUGAUCCAGUCUCCAAAGACUUUGUCCUCUGGCCCUUCCGUAUGGUUCUUUGGAACUUCAGAAUCCCUAAUCCACUCCACAAUGUCCCAUGAAACCAUAUACCCCAUCCCAGACAUAUAAUGCACAAAAGGGUCCAUGCUCGGGCAUGGAAUAACAUAACCAUAGUACAAAUCUUCUCUAGGCAAUGGCUUUAGUGACUCCACUAAGUUUUCUAACCUAAAAUAAGUAUCAUCAUCAGCUUUCAUCACAUAAUGGUAUGGAGGGUAUGGCCUAUCUGUGUCGUUUAAUAUUUCUGGCAAGCUUGAAAAAUAAGUAUAGGUCUUACCCUUGUUCAUGUUCUCUUUGCAAUUGAGGAUGAUAAUAUCAUCGUAACGCAUUAUCUCUAGUGCAACAAGUACUUUUUGAUCUUCCUUUGUUAGAUUGCAAAACACAAACUUUACGUCAACUUGUGCACCCAUCGGAGAUUGCGUCCCGUAUAUUAAACGAAG
This 674-nucleotide unclassified non-coding RNA is filed under the name Hevea brasiliensis (rubber tree). Lineage: Eukaryota; Viridiplantae; Streptophyta; Magnoliopsida; Malpighiales; Euphorbiaceae. The record is from RNAcentral.